GACGAACGCUGGCGGCGUGCUUCAUACAUGCAAGUCGAACGAGAAGUCACCUUCGGGUGAUGGAAAGUGGCGGACGGGUGAGUAAUGUGUAGAGAAUCUGCCCUUGAGUGGGGGACGAACAGUUGGAAACGACUGCUAAUACCCCACUAUGAGCUUAGCUGAAAUAGCUAAUCUUGAAAACUACCGGUGCUCAAGGAUGAGUCUGCAUCUGAUUAGCUAGUUGGCGGUGUAAUGGACCACCAAGGCUACGAUCAGUAGCUGGUUUUGAGAGGAUGAUCAGCCACAAUGGGACUGAGACACGGCCCAUACUCCUACGGGAGGCAGCAGUAGGGAAUUUUGUCACAAUGGGGGAAACCCGUGAUGCAGCGACGCCGCGUGGAGGAAGGAAGGUCUUCGGAUUGU
This 402-nucleotide ribosomal RNA is filed under the name uncultured bacterium. RNAcentral describes it as "bacterial SSU rRNA". It matches the Rfam family "Bacterial small subunit ribosomal RNA", at positions 28 to 426 of the family's 1533-position model. The record is from RNAcentral.